This 480-nucleotide ribosomal RNA is filed under the name uncultured bacterium. RNAcentral's name for it is "partial 16S ribosomal RNA". It matches the Rfam family "Bacterial small subunit ribosomal RNA", at positions 30 to 505 of the family's 1533-position model. The record is from RNAcentral.
AUUGAACGCUGGCGGCAUGCUUUACACAUGCAAGUCGAACGGUAACAGGCCGCAAGGUGCUGACGAGUGGCGAACGGGUGAGUAAUGCAUCGGAACGUGCCCAGUCGUGGGGGAUAACUACUCGAAAGAGUAGCCAAUACCGCAUACGAUCUAUGGAUGAAAGCGGGGGACCGUAAGGCCUCGCGCGAUUGGAGCGGCCGAUGUCAGAUUAGGUAGUUGGUGGGGUAAAGGCUCACCAAGCCAACGAUCUGUAGCUGGUCUGAGAGGACGACCAGCCACACUGGGACUGAGACACGGCCCAGACUCCUACGGGAGGCAGCAGUGGGGAAUUUUGGACAAUGGGCGCAAGCCUGAUCCAGCAAUGCCGCGUGCAGGAAGAAGGCCUUCGGGUUGUAAACUGCUUUUGUACGGAACGAAACGGCUCUGGUUAAUACCCGGGGCUAAUGACGGUACCGUAAGAAUAAGCACCGGCUAACUACG